UACAGAGGGUGCAAGCGUUGUUCGGAAUUAUUGGGCGUAAAGCGCGUGUAGGCGGCUUUGCAAGUCGGGUGUGAGAGCCCUCGGCUCAACCGAGGAAGUGCGCCCGAAACUGCAGAGCUUGAGUACCGGAGAGGGUGGCGGAAUUCCCCAAGUAGAGGUGAAAUUCGUAGAUAUGGGGAGGAACACCGGUGGCGAAGGCGGCCACCUGGACGGAUACGUGACGCUGAGACGCGAAAGCGUGGGGAGCAAACAGG
Molecule: ribosomal RNA, 254 nt
Filed under: uncultured bacterium
Lineage: Bacteria
Description: partial 16S ribosomal RNA
Rfam family: Bacterial small subunit ribosomal RNA
Source: RNAcentral